AGAUCUAGGGAGUGGGAGAGGUAGACGGUACUCGGUAGGAAGGGGUAAAAUCCUUUGAUCUAUUGAUGACCACCUGUGGCGAAGGCGGUCUACCAGAACACGUCCGACGGUGAGGGAUGAAAGCUGGGGGAGCAAACCGGAUUAGAUACCCGGGUAGUCCCAGCUGUAAACUAUGCAAACUCAGUGAUGCAUUGGCUUGUGGCCAAUGCAGUGCUGCAGGGAAGCCGUUAAGUUUGCCGCCUGGGAAGUACGUACGCAAGUAUGAAACUUAAAGGAAUUGGCGGGGGAGCACCACAAGGGGUGAAGCCUGCGGUUCAAUUGGAGUCAACGCCAGAAAUCUUACCCGGAGAGACAGCAGAAUGAAGGUCAAGCUGAAGACUUUACCAGACAAGCUGAGAGGCGGUGCAUGGCCGUCGUCAGCUCGUACCGUAAGGCGUUCUGUUAAGUCAGAUAACGAGCGAGACCCUUAUCCGCAAUUGCUAUCCGGUCCUCCGGGAUCGGAGCACAUUGCGGAGACCGCUGGUGCUAAACCAGAGGAAGGAUAGGGCAACGGUAGGUCAGUAUGCCCCGAAUUCUCCGGGCUACACGCGCGCUACAAAGGGCCGGACAGUGGGUAUCGACACCGAGAGGUGGAGGCAAUCCCGAAACCGGUCCAUAGUUUGGAUCGAGGGUGCAACUCGCCCUCGUGAAAC
RNAcentral lists this ribosomal RNA (692 nucleotides) under uncultured crenarchaeote. Its description in RNAcentral is "bacterial SSU rRNA". It matches the Rfam family "Archaeal small subunit ribosomal RNA", at positions 588 to 1282 of the family's 1478-position model. The record is from RNAcentral. Lineage: Archaea; Thermoproteati; Thermoproteota.